RNAcentral lists this transfer RNA (84 nucleotides) under Bradyrhizobium elkanii. RNAcentral's name for it is "tRNA-Leu". Lineage: Bacteria; Pseudomonadati; Pseudomonadota; Alphaproteobacteria; Hyphomicrobiales; Nitrobacteraceae. The record is from RNAcentral.
GCGCUUGUGGCGGAAUUCGGUAGACGCAGCGUCUUGAGGGGGCGCCGGGAAACCAUGCCGGUUCGACCCCGGCCAAGCGCACCA